AACGAACGCUGGCGGCAUGCCUAACACAUGCAAGUCGAACGGGAUCCGGACUUCGGUCCGGUGAGAGUGGCGGACGGGUGAGUAACACGUGGGAACCUGCCUUUUGGUUCGGGAUAACCGCGGGAAACUGCGGCUAAUACCGAAUGCUCCCGAGAGGGGAAAGAUUUAUCGCCAGAAGAGGGGCCCGCGUCCGAUUAGGUAGUUGGUGGGGUAAUGGCCUACCAAGCCGACGAUCGGUAGCUGGUCUGAGAGGAUGAUCAGCCACACUGGGACUGAGAUACGGCCCAGACUCCUACGGGAGGCAGCAGUAGGGAAUAUUGCGCAAUGGGGGGAACCCUGACGCAGCAACGCCACGUGUGGGAAGAAGCAUUUCGGUGUGUAAACCACUGUCGGAAAGGAAUAACGGAAGACUUCGGUCUUUAUGAAUGUACUUUUAGAGGAAGCACCGGCAAACUUCGUGCCAGCAGCCGCGGUAAGCAUACUCGUA
This 487-nucleotide ribosomal RNA is filed under the name uncultured bacterium. RNAcentral's name for it is "bacterial SSU rRNA". It matches the Rfam family "Bacterial small subunit ribosomal RNA", at positions 29 to 529 of the family's 1533-position model. The record is from RNAcentral.